GACGAACGCUGGCGGCGUGCUUAACACAUGCAAGUCGAACGGAAAGGCCCUGCUUGCAGGGUACUCGAGUGGCGAACGGGUGAGUAACACGUGGGUGAUCUGCCCUGCACUUCGGGAUAAGCCUGGGAAACUGGGUCUAAUACCGGAUAGGAGCCAUUUUUAGUGUGAUGGUUGGAAAGUUUUUUCGGUGUAGGAUGAGCUCGCGGCCUAUCAGCUUGUUGGUGGGGUAAUGGCCUACCAGGGCGGCGACGGGUAGCCGGCCUGAGAGGGUGGACGGCCACAUUGGGACUGAGAUACGGCCCAGACUCCUACGGGAGGCAGCAGUGGGGAAUAUUGCACAAUGGGCGCAAGCCUGAUGCAGCGACGCCGCGUGGGGGAUGACGGCCUUCGGGUUGUAAACUCCUUUCGCUAGGGACGAAGCUUUUUGUGACGGUACCUAGAUAAGAAGCACCGGCUAACUACGUG
This 465-nucleotide ribosomal RNA is filed under the name uncultured bacterium. RNAcentral's name for it is "partial 16S ribosomal RNA". It matches the Rfam family "Bacterial small subunit ribosomal RNA", at positions 28 to 507 of the family's 1533-position model. The record is from RNAcentral.